RNAcentral lists this unclassified non-coding RNA (400 nucleotides) under soil metagenome. RNAcentral describes it as "partial contains 5.8S ribosomal RNA, internal transcribed spacer 2, and large subunit ribosomal RNA". The stretch from base 1 to 122 matches the Rfam family "5.8S ribosomal RNA", at positions 35 to 154 of the family's 154-position model. The record is from RNAcentral.
GAUGAAGAACGUAGCGAAAUGCGAUACUUGGUGUGAAUUGGAGAAUCCCGUGAACCAUCGAGUCUUUGAACGCAAGUUGCGCCUCAAGCCAUUAGGUUGAGGGCACGUCUGCCUGGGCGUCACAUAUCGUUGCCUGAUGCCAGUUUCCUCGUGAUGGGUGACUGUGCAGGGCGAAUGAUGGCUUCCCGUGAGCAUUGUUGCCUCAUGGUUGGUUGAAAAUUGAGUCCUUGGUAGGGAGCGCCGUGAUAGAUGGUGGUUGAGUGACGAACGAGACCCAAUCAUGUGAGACCCCUACCGAAUUUGGCCUUCAUGACCCACAUGCGUCUUUGGAACGCUCAUGACGAGACCUCAGGUCAGGCGGGGCUACCCGCUGAGUUUAAGCAUAUCAAUAAGCGGAGGA